GGAUUAGAUACCCUGGUAGUCCACCCCGUAAACGUUGGGAACUAGUUGUGGGGUCCAUUCCACGGAUUCCGUGACGCAGCUAACGCAUUAAGUUCCCCGCCUGGGGAGUACGGCCGCAAGGCUAAAACUCAAAGGAAUUGACGGGGACCCGCACAAGCGGCGGAGCACGCGGAUUAAUUCGAUGCAACGCGAAGAACCUUACCAAGGCUUGACAUAUACGAGAACGGACCAGAAAUGGUCAACUCUUUGGACACUCGUAAACAGGUGGUGCAUGGUUGUCGUCAGCUCGUGUCGUGAGAUGUUGGGUUAAGUCCCGCAACGAGCGCAACCCUCGUUCUAUGUUGCCAGCACGUAAUGGUGGGAACUCAUGGGAUACUGCCGGGGUCAACUCGGAGGAAGGUGGGGAUGACGUCAAAUCAUCAUGCCCCUUAUAUCUUGGGCUUAACGCAUGCUACAAUGGCCGGUACAAAGGGCUGCAAUACCGCGAGGUGGAGCGAAUCCCAAAAAGCCGGUCCCAGUUCGGAUUGAGGUCUGCAACUCGACCUCAUGAAGUCGGAGUCGCUAGUAAUCGCAGAUCAGCAACGCUGCGGUGAAUACGUUCCCGGGUCUUGUACACACCGCCCGUCAAGUCAUGAAAGUCGGUAACACCUGAAGCCGGUGGCCUAACCCUUGUGGAGGGAGCCGUCGAAGGUGGGAUCGGUAAUUAGGACUAAGUCGUAACAAGGUAGC
This 729-nucleotide ribosomal RNA is filed under the name uncultured Microbacterium sp. Its description in RNAcentral is "bacterial SSU rRNA". It matches the Rfam family "Bacterial small subunit ribosomal RNA", at positions 775 to 1500 of the family's 1533-position model. The record is from RNAcentral. Lineage: Bacteria; Bacillati; Actinomycetota; Actinomycetes; Micrococcales; Microbacteriaceae.